UGGGUUGAUAGGCCGGAUCUGGAAGCAUCGUAAGGUGUGGAGGUGACCGGUACUAAUAGGCCGAGGGCUUGUCCUCAGUUG
Molecule: ribosomal RNA, 81 nt
Filed under: Streptomyces sp. SID8381
Lineage: Bacteria; Bacillati; Actinomycetota; Actinomycetes; Kitasatosporales; Streptomycetaceae
Description: partial 23S ribosomal RNA
Source: RNAcentral